CAGGCCCCAGCAGCCCUCUGGGUCCUGGUGUCUCUCCUCCUGGUCUGGCUGCUGCACCAUGUCCUCCCUGGUUCUGAGGCCUCUGGCUUCUUGGACUGAGUCACACGAUUGGCUUCUCUGACUUUCCAGCAGCAGCAGCCAAUGUGGAAACAUGCAGCCUCUGUGUUCACGGGAGUCCGUCGCAUAUCUGAACCUGUGUUUCCAUCUGUCUCCUGUCCACUUCCUCUACAGAAGCCUAAUGCCAAAGUGACCUGCAUCAGGUCAUAGUAUGUGGGCAGACGUGACCUGAUCUAUGGGAAGAAGCUGUAAGAGGCCUGGGGGAUUCCGCCACGUCCUCCUCUUCCUCUGUGUUGGAAGGGUGGGCUCCUCUCACGCGGGGGCCUUUUCCUCAGCCACCCUCCCAGAAUGAUGACGCACCUGGGGCAAACACAGCUGGGUCGGAGCCACACACCUUGAGGUCAGCAGUGAAGAGACCCAGGUGUUGUCCACAGGAAAACACUCUGACUUGGAGUGUGGUUUCUUUUCUGCAGGUGACAACAACAUACUGGCCAGCCUUCUCUUGCAGAUGGAGAUUAAAUAAUUUGCUUCCCCUGUGACAGUGGAAGAUAUUGCAGACACCAAGCUCUAUAACUGAACACUGAUGAAGAGAAGAAAAGCUUCUGCUCAGUCACAAAACAAUGAAUUCAAAACUCACAUUCUUAAAUAAAGAAGACACGGACAGUAGGUACAAAGCAAUGAUGAACUGCAAGAGAAAACUGUGAUCCCAGCCUCUCCUCCUGGAUAAAACUAUGCAAAUGACCUUCAUUGUCAAGUGUGACAUUUUUCCAUCAAAAGAGUACACACAACACACGGCAAUGUUUUUAGUACAAACUAAUCACAAAUAAUUUUGUGUAAUCUGUAUCCUGAGAAGAAAUUAUUCUUCAGAAAUUCAUCUUGUCCCCUAUGAAAUAAAUGGGAAUUUCCACCCUUUCCAAUCCA
Molecule: non-coding RNA, 978 nt
Organism: Ictidomys tridecemlineatus (thirteen-lined ground squirrel)
Lineage: Eukaryota; Metazoa; Chordata; Mammalia; Rodentia; Sciuridae
Source: RefSeq, a predicted model, not a curated record